RNAcentral lists this ribosomal RNA (500 nucleotides) under uncultured bacterium. RNAcentral describes it as "partial 16S ribosomal RNA". It matches the Rfam family "Bacterial small subunit ribosomal RNA", at positions 30 to 523 of the family's 1533-position model. The record is from RNAcentral.
AUUGAACGCUGGCGGCAUGCCUUACACAUGCAAGUCGGACGGCAGCACGGGAGCAAUCCUGGUGGCGAGUGGCGAACGGGUGAGUAAAGUAUCGGAACGUGCCCAGUCGUGGGGGAUAACGUAGCGAAAGUUACGCUAAUACCGCAUACGAUCUAUGGAUGAAAGCGGGGGAUCGCAAGACCUCGCGCGAUUGGAGCGGCCGAUAUCAGGUUAGGUAGUUGGUGGGGUAAAGGCUCACCAAGCCGACGAUCUGUAGCUGGUCUGAGAGGACGACCAGCCGCACUGGGACUGAGACACGGCCCAGACUCCUACGGGAGGCAGCAGUGGGGAAUUUUGGACAAUGGGCGCAAGCCUGAUCCAGCCAUGCCGCGUGCAGGAUGAAGGCCUUCGGGUUGUAAACUGCUUUUGUACGGAACGAAAAGGUUUGACUUAAUACGUUGGACUCAUGACGGUACCGUAAGAAUAAGCACCGGCUAACUACGUGCCAGCCGCCGCCGUAA